RNAcentral lists this ribosomal RNA (301 nucleotides) under uncultured bacterium. RNAcentral describes it as "partial 16S ribosomal RNA". It matches the Rfam family "Bacterial small subunit ribosomal RNA", at positions 509 to 809 of the family's 1533-position model. The record is from RNAcentral.
CAGUCGCCGCGGGAAUACGUAGGUGGCAAGCGUUGUCCGGAAUUAUUGGGCGUAAAGCGCGCGCAGGCGGAUAGGUCAGUCUGUCUUAAAAGUUCGGGGCUUAACCCCGUGAUGGGAUGGAAACUGCCAAUCUAGAGUAUCGGAGAGGAAAGUGGAAUUCCUAGUGUAGCGGUGAAAUGCGUAGAUAUUAGGAAGAACACCAGUGGCGAAGGCGACUUUCUGGACGAAAACUGACGCUGAGGCGCAAAAGCCAGGGGAGCGAACGGGAUUAGAUACCCCAGUAGUCCCUGUCUCUUAUACA